Molecule: long non-coding RNA, 578 nt
Organism: Daphnia magna
Lineage: Eukaryota; Metazoa; Arthropoda; Branchiopoda; Diplostraca; Daphniidae
Exons: 2
Source: RefSeq, a predicted model, not a curated record
UAAAAAAGGCGCGAUUCAUUGGAGCAGGGGAAAACUUGCACUGUGUUGAGUUUAGUACGCAUUUUAAUGCCCAAUCGUUGGCAGAGAGUAGGUCAUUCGAAAACUGUGUAUGUUCGGCUACGGUCAUUAUAGGAAGAGAACGGACCAGCCAUGUUAAACGUAUAGCCUUUCUGUUAACCCACGUUCUAUUGACACUUGUGCAGCACUGAAAUGUCGUCAUCGGGUGCCAGGGAUUUUGGUGUCUCUUUAAAUCUACGCUUUUUUUAUUCUUUUUGAUUCGGGACAAUGGACUAGAUGACGCUGGUUUUAAAAAAGAAUAAAAAGUUCUUUCUAUUAUCUAUUCCUAUCAAGAUUAUAAUUUCGGCACGGCGAUCAAAAGGUCACUUUCAAAAAAAAAGAGUAUCGUGACAUGAAACUGGAUUACGUGGGUCGAGGACAUCUUGCGAACAAUACCUAAAACAAGGCAUGAAAUUCCAAACGUUUGGCCUUUUUGUAUAGUUUACCAACUGUCAGCGUGACAAAGCUUUUCUCAUCGCGCUUGUUAUUUACUUGAUAAAAAUAAAGCAACUCGAUAUGGA